UACGUAGGGGGCUAGCGUUGUCCGGACUUAUUGGGCGUAAAGAGCGUGUAGGCGGCCAGGUAGGUCUGCUGUGAAAACUCGAGGCUCAACCUCGAGACGCCGGUGGAAACCGUAAAGCUAGAGUCCGGAAGAGGAGAGUGGAAUUCCUGGUGUAGCGGUGAAAUGCGCAGAUAUCUGGAGGAACACCGGUGGCGAAGGCGGCAUCCUGGACCGGCAUUGACGCUGAGGCGCGAAAGCCAGGGGAGCAAACGGGG
This 254-nucleotide ribosomal RNA is filed under the name uncultured bacterium. RNAcentral describes it as "partial 16S ribosomal RNA". It matches the Rfam family "Bacterial small subunit ribosomal RNA", at positions 524 to 777 of the family's 1533-position model. The record is from RNAcentral.